CAAAAAAGUGCUCGGCUACCAAGUCACCGAUGAUCUCUGCGAAAUUUCCAGGAUUCAUAUGCUUGUGUUUCGCGAACUGGCAGCUGUUUGUAAACAGCGAGUUGGAUAAUAUAUUCUGUGGUGCUGGGUGUACUCGAUCUUUUAAACCCUGUACACUACAUGUUGGAUGUAAUUCCAUGGUACUGUGGAGGAGACCAGGAGUUGUUUUACAUUAAUUUGCUGCCAAUACAUAUUACAUGUGAAGAAUCAAUAUAGGUUGGACAGAUUUAUGGCUUCAAGUCUAUUACCUCACCUCAGAGUGAAUGUCAUGAAAAUGUUUAACUUCAUCCGCUGCUCAAGUUUUGUACUUUGCAUACACAGUUCUGUUGAAGGUGAGUUCAAGAAGUCUUGAACAAACGUGCACAAGAUGGGUUGUUGCUUGUACUCACUAUAUAAAAUUUGUCAGCAAUUAUUGCUUUACCAUAAUUCUUUUUAUGAACAAAGCAGCUUUUCAUGGCCAGACCUUUAAUUUCAAAAACAUCUACAAAAUACAUUUCCCAGUUCAAGAACUCUGAAGCGAUUUUGUCUGUUUCUUUACAACUAUGAGGAUGGCAUGUACUUUGUCCCCUGUGAUCAUGGCAGGAAUAUUCCCAUGACAAGUCUGUCUGCCCCUCCCUGCUGCAUGAAAAAAUGAACUGAGGAAAACAAAAAGAAAUCGCCCUGCAUCUGCAAAAACCAAAUGGUAAAGUCACUGCUCUCUAUGCAAUCAGAUCAUAAGAAGAUCAGAAGAAUUGAAAUGGUCAUUGAGUAAAAAUAUAUGGUUGUCGCUCAACCACAAAGUACAUGUAGAAGUAAUUUCAACACAGACAUCAUUCAUCUCCUUGGGGAGGGAUCUUGGUUGUACUCUUGACAAUAUCAAUGAGAUGUAGAUUUAUGUAGAUUAUUAUAAUUAUUAUUAGACAUCUAGUAGACUCUCUUUUGCUCAAAAAUCCAUGGAGGAGAAUGCAAAGAAAAACACAACACAAGUGGGUGGCUGUGUGCAAGCAUGAUGUCCUUGUGAAGCCGCAAGUCACAAGUUGCGUGGGUACUGAAAGACGAGCAAUUAGAGACUGCAAUGGUUUCAUACAGCAUUUCUGAAGCCCAGCACUCUGGUGAUAGCGUAAUUCUAUUGGUCGGUCCACAAAGUUAUGACGCACAUCUGUCAGUAAUCUUUAUUAUAAAUGACAAACAGCAAACUCUGUUGUAAAGUUUGCUGCCUACAGUUCAUGAAACUUUCACCUUUGCCUUCCUGUUUUGAAUUUCCAUCUCUUGACCAUUUUUUAUUAUGUUAUGUUUUACACUUGUUUUAGAAUGGCUGUGGUAUUAGGAGGACUUUAAAGUAGAGUAGAGCCAUUUGAUCGAGCAGUAUAAGUAUUUUUUAGAGGUCAUAGGUCUGGUUUCAGCCAUUAUCUGUUGCACAUUUUUAGAGUAUGACAUCUCUGUAAUUUGCCAUGUGCCCUUAGCUCUUUUCUAUUUCAACAUAUGUUUUAUUUUUCUAUUUCAAUCUCUUCAAUUAAUGUAAAUAGACUUCUUUUAAUUAUUAUUAUAUUCUUGCUUUUCAGCAAUAUUUUGGAUAAAGAUUGUGAAGCUGACAGAGAACCUUGUCUUGGUGGGGAUGAGUUACCUUUGUACGAUCUUGGUAAGCAACAUUACACAACUUGUUGAAAUAAGUAAGCUUAUUAUCACAUCAAUGUUUGUCUAGCCAGCAUAACAGGCGUUAUUUUUUUGCGUAUUUUAGGCGAACAGAGACGAAAGUGAGGUGAGCACAAAGCGCGAGUCAUGUGUGAGGGGAAGAGCGUGAGAAAAAUAAUGCCUGUACACAUACCAUUUGAAGAAACUAGUCAUAAAAGGGGAUAAGUGACGAUUUUGGUUGCUUUUCUUUUUUCU
Molecule: long non-coding RNA, 1905 nt
Organism: Orbicella faveolata
Lineage: Eukaryota; Metazoa; Cnidaria; Anthozoa; Scleractinia; Merulinidae
Source: RefSeq, a predicted model, not a curated record